CGCGCUGCCUGCGGAUGUUUAUGUACACACACAGGCGUGCAAAUUCCCGUGCCAAAAAAAAAAAAAAAAAGCUCAUUUUCAUUCCAGUUAAGCCCACAAAAUGAUGCCGAAAACAGUCCUCUGUCCCCACCACUGCCAGCAUCGGACAAUCCUCCGCGCCCGCGGAGCCCCGCACCCCCGGCUGCUGCCCUGCCGCCGUGCCGCUCUCCGCUCAGCCGUCCGCCCCUCUCCCGCUUUUAUUAUCUUAUCUCAGUAAGUCGGCAGAAGACUGAUAGACCGAUAAAGAGGGGGUGAUAGAUUAAAAAAAAAAAAAAAAAAAAGGUAGAACAACAAGGAAUCAAAACAAACCGGAGCAACACCAACCUAAACAUCAGCCUGUCAGUAUCGCUCUGAAAUACAGCAAGAGACCUCGUACUUACAGCCAGCGCUAAACUUUAACCAACGAAGAAAACUGGACUUUGUGUGACUGCACCUUGUCUCACAGCCUCUGAGGAAAGAGGAGCCACUGAUUAUGCUUGCAUGGGAAGGUUACAGGCAAGGAAGAUUCCACAGGAGUGAAGAGGCAAUGUUACUCCCUGGCAGAGCUGCAGUCAUCCACAUAUCGAACACAGUGAGGAUCAAACUCUGCAUGUCUGUCUUCAAUUGGCGAUCCUCUCAGGUUUGACUGUCAGAUUCAGAGAGUGGGAUUCAACCCCUGGUCAAAAUACUGAUUUGACAAUGACAACCCAGCCUUAUUCCCAGGGUAAAGCUUCCUCUUAUGUUGCAGGCAGGGCUGAGCACUACAUUUUCUCUUCUGACUGCUAGUCAUGAAGUCAUGCAUAACGUCACUAGAGGUUCUAGUUCAGAUGCAAAGGUUAAAUGGAAGGUCUAUCCUUGCUUAAACCACAAAACAAAAUUGUUAGUCCUUGCUGAGUACUUAAGAAAGAGUGGCUUGUCAUAAACACUCAAAUCUCUUUAGCCACAAGAUCCCUAGGAUUGUUGUGAAAGGCUGUGAUGCAAUGAAAUAGUGGUAGCAAGUGACCAGUGAAUAAAGGAACUGCUUUUACAGUGUUUUCUUAUUGCUUCUGACAAUUAUAUAUGUUUCAAUCAUUAAAUAUAUUCCAUAUUUCUUCAACCUCUUAUAUUGUACUUUUCCCAUUAACAUUCCUGGUUGUAUUAUUGGCUAUAGAUUGUAUUUUAUGCUUAUGAAA
Molecule: long non-coding RNA, 1190 nt
Organism: Pseudopipra pipra
Lineage: Eukaryota; Metazoa; Chordata; Aves; Passeriformes; Pipridae
Exons: 4
Source: RefSeq, a predicted model, not a curated record